This 83-nucleotide transfer RNA is filed under the name Intestinimonas massiliensis (ex Afouda et al. 2020). RNAcentral's name for it is "tRNA-Leu". It matches the Rfam family "tRNA". Rfam says of the family: Transfer RNA (tRNA) molecules are approximately 80 nucleotides in length. Their secondary structure includes four short double-helical elements and three loops (D, anti-codon, and T loops). Further hydrogen bonds mediate the characteristic L-shaped molecular structure. tRNAs have two regions of fundamental functional importance: the anti-codon, which is responsible for specific mRNA codon recognition, and the 3' end, to which the tRNAs corresponding amino acid is attached (by aminoacyl-tRNA synthetases). tRNAs cope with the degeneracy of the genetic code in two manners: having more than one tRNA (with a specific anti-codon) for a particular amino acid; and 'wobble' base-pairing, i.e. permitting non-standard base-pairing at the 3rd anti-codon position. The record is from RNAcentral. Lineage: Bacteria; Bacillati; Bacillota; Clostridia; Eubacteriales.
GCCCUAGUGGUGCAAUGCAGACACGGCCGGCCCAAACCCGGCUGCCGCAAGGCUUGUGGGUUCGAGUCCCACCCUGGGCACCA